This 468-nucleotide ribosomal RNA is filed under the name uncultured bacterium. Its description in RNAcentral is "partial 16S ribosomal RNA". It matches the Rfam family "Bacterial small subunit ribosomal RNA", at positions 28 to 507 of the family's 1533-position model. The record is from RNAcentral.
GACGAACGCUGGCGGCGUGCUUAACACAUGCAAGUCGAACGGAAAGGCCCUGCUUUUGUGGGGUGCUCGAGUGGCGAACGGGUGAGUAACACGUGAGUAACCUGCCCUUGACUUUGGGAUAACUUCAGGAAACUGGGGCUAAUACCGGAUAGGAGCUCCUGCUGCAUGGUGGGGGUUGGAAAGUUUCGGCGGUUGGGGAUGGACUCGCGGCUUAUCAGCUUGUUGGUGGGGUAGUGGCUUACCAAGGCUUUGACGGGUAGCCGGCCUGAGAGGGUGACCGGCCACAUUGGGACGGGGAUACGGCCCAAACUCCUACGGGAGGCAGCAGUGGGGAAUAUUGCACGAUGGGCGGAAGCCUGAUGCAGCAACGCCGCGUGCGGGAUGACGGCCUUCGGGUUGUAAACCGCUUUCGCCUGUGACGAAGCGUGAGUGACGGUAAUGGGUAAAGAAGCACCGGCUAACUACGUG